AUUGAACGCUGGCGGCAGGCCUAACACAUGCAAGUCGCGCGAUCGGCGGACGGGUGAGUAAUGUAUGGGGCCCUGCCUGAUGGCGGGGGAUAACUACUGGCAACGGUAGCUCAUACCGCAUACCCUCAGCUGUGCCCAUAUGGGAUUAGCUUGUAGGUAAGGUAACGGCUUACCUAGGCGACGCUCCCUAGCUGGUCUGAGAGGAUGAUCAGCCACACUGGGACUGAGACACGGCCCAGACUCCUACGGGAGGCAGCAGUGGGGAAUAUUGCACAAUGGGCGCAAGCCUGAUGCAGCCAUGCCGCGUGUAUGAAGAAGGCCUUCGGGUUGUAAAGUACUUUCAGUCGGGAGGCGUUACCGACAGAAGAAGCACCGGCUAACUCCGUGCCAGCAGCCGCGGUAAUUC
Molecule: ribosomal RNA, 406 nt
Filed under: uncultured bacterium
Lineage: Bacteria
Description: partial 16S ribosomal RNA
Rfam family: Bacterial small subunit ribosomal RNA
Source: RNAcentral